This 543-nucleotide long non-coding RNA is filed under the name Apteryx owenii (little spotted kiwi). RNAcentral describes it as "lncRNA (ENSAOWG00000000366.1)". The record is from RNAcentral. Lineage: Eukaryota; Metazoa; Chordata; Aves; Apterygiformes; Apterygidae.
CAGCAUACCUCUCAGUAAUGCCACAGGCAAUGCCUUCAGAAACUCUUUCUUCUAUCAGAAAUCAAAGAACAAACUAUUUGUUCUAAGAGAUUGCCUGGGCUCUGUAGGAAGCUUCCUUUUGCUCCUGGUGCACUGUUUCGCUCAUAUCACUGCCACUGACUUCAAUGAGGACUCCAACCCAGCCUUUCUGAGGGUUUUUUUAUCAGGCACUAAAGGCUUGUCUCAGUGAAAUGUUCUCCCUCAGACUCCAGAUGUCAGCAGUUCUCCAGGGUGAUAAAUCCUCUGGAAUAAAUGAGAUGGUGCUGAAGGCAGAACCGUUCUCUGAAGAAGAAAUAAACCUCAUCUCCCAGCUUUUUGAGGUGAAAGUGAAAAGCCUCACAGAGAUGGAAACCUUUGAAGAGGAGAACAGGAACCUCGUGCUCCAUAUGAAACUUGAGGAGCCACUAAGUGACAAGUUGUCUGUGAAGAGAAAAGAAUAUUUCCUUCAUGCCUUAAACAGCCAUGAAAAGAACAGCUUUGAACAUAGGACAUGGUGAGAAUGAC